AUGCCAGGGUUGAAAAGUCAAAAUGUCGUUCUUGCUUGCAAGAUAAGACAUUUGAGUUUGAAACCCGCUAAACAUGAGGAAGCAGCUACUUACGCAGUAAGUAUGCGGAUUCCGAAUGUUUGCAGAAUUGUGAGAGUACGAAGUACGGAACAAUUCGC
Molecule: small RNA, 158 nt
Filed under: human gut metagenome
Description: Clostridiales-1 RNA
Rfam family: Clostridiales-1 RNA
Source: RNAcentral